UAAAGAGAUGAAGAGUAGAAACAACAAGAAUCAGGAAGAAAAAGGAGAAAGAACAUACCUAAGGUCAAUACACAAAAUUCCCCCUUCUCCAUCGCGCCAGAAUCCUCAGGUCUUCAAAUCAUGUUUGUUUCGUGAUUCAAUCAUAUACGCUUCGGGCUACAAUUCCCUUUCAAAGCUAGAAUCCGCGAGUUCUUCAGACUUAGGGCAUCACACUCAUUCUCCGUCGCUUGUUCUCCAUGAGAGAUUAGUGAUAUAUUCAGGUUCAGGAAGGGAUUUCAGGUCAGGUUCAUGUUUAGGAGGGAGUCGAAUGGAGGAGGCGAUGACACCAUGA
Molecule: non-coding RNA, 331 nt
Organism: Vicia faba (fava bean)
Lineage: Eukaryota; Viridiplantae; Streptophyta; Magnoliopsida; Fabales; Fabaceae
Source: the annotation of a GenBank genome assembly